GUCUAUGGCCAAGCCACCCUGAUUGUCUCAUCUUGGAAGCUAACCAGGGUCGGACCCAGUUAGUACUUUGGAUGGGAGACCACCUAGGAAGACCAGGUGUUGUGGGUG
Molecule: ribosomal RNA, 108 nt
Filed under: Pteropus alecto (black flying fox)
Lineage: Eukaryota; Metazoa; Chordata; Mammalia; Chiroptera; Pteropodidae
Source: RNAcentral